This 366-nucleotide ribosomal RNA is filed under the name uncultured bacterium. RNAcentral describes it as "bacterial SSU rRNA". It matches the Rfam family "Bacterial small subunit ribosomal RNA", at positions 775 to 1130 of the family's 1533-position model. The record is from RNAcentral.
AGAUAAUAGAUACCCCGGUAGUCCUGGCCGUAAACGAUGUCGACUAGAUCGCAGAUCCUCUGACGGAUUUGCGGUCGAAAGCAAAAGUGCUAAGUCGACCGCCUGGGAAGUACGGUCGCAAGGCUAAAACUCAAAGGAAUUGACGGGGGCUCACACAAGCGGUGGAGCAUGUGGUUCAAUUCGAAGCAACGCGCAGAACCUUACCUGGGCUUGACAUGCUUGGAUUAUCCCUAUGAAAGUAGGGUAGGCCCUUCGGGUACGAACAAGUACAGGUGCUGCAUGGCUGUCGUCAGCUCGUGUCGUGAGAUGUCGGGUUUAAGUCCCUUAACGAGCGAAACCUUUGCCCUUAGUUACCAGCGGGUUAUG